This is a long non-coding RNA of Rattus norvegicus (Norway rat), 1296 nucleotides long. RefSeq lists it as uncharacterized. Lineage: Eukaryota; Metazoa; Chordata; Mammalia; Rodentia; Muridae. The record is from RefSeq and is a predicted model, not a curated record.
CUCAGAGAUGGCUGGGAUGAGAGGUAUUGGUGGGGACAAGGGCAGCCACUGUUGGCUGAACACUUACUACAGGCCAGGCGCUUGAGGCCUGUCUCACUCAAGGUAGCCGGGGAUGAGCUCAUCUGUUGGGAAGAGACAGCAGCCCCGAGAGGGAGAGUCGGUUUCCCAGGCACAAAACGUGUGUCAUAGUGCAAACAAGGCUCUGUGUGUGAAAGCGUGUGAACCUUCCAGGGUGGGAGGAAGGGUUCUGUCCUGCUCAGCACCAUGCCCCUGUGGUAGGAGAGAGGCCAACCAACAGCAGGUGCUCAAUAUUUGCUGAAUGAGUGGCACAGGGCGAUACGUGUGUGCCAGGCGGCAAGCUACCUGUUCUCUGCUGUCUGUCCCACAGGCCCGGGAAGGGGUGGGCAUGGACGAAGCAGCAAGAUGGCAGAGAGGGUCCUGGUCCAUCCCUGGGCUCAGAGCCUUUCUUCUUCUGCCCGCUCCCAUCUGCAGCUCUUUGCUCCCCUCAGCUAUGGGGACUCCCUCAGGAGAUGCUGGGGCUCUGCUAGUGAGAGCAUCCUUUCAGCCAGGACCUCUCCGUCUCUCAGGCCAGCUCUCCUCAAGGACUGGCUGUGACACCCCGCCCACGGUGUGCCCCCUCUUUCCACAGCACAAAUCUCCGAGGGCCAUUUUCCCAAAGUCCUUUGAUCUUCAAAUGAAUCCCACAGUGAGGGUGGACAUUGGGAACCACAGGUCUUAGGUUCCAGUACUCUGCUGUGUGACCUCUGGCUGGGAAGAUGCAUUAAAAACCCGAAAGCAGCUCCCUACUGCACAGACUCAGUAGCACCCACACAGCUCGCCAAGUCUCACUCAGUCACCAGGUCCCCAGAUUCUCCCUGCCGAGGCCGGGCCGGGUCCCCCCACGACUUGGCUCGUGUGCAGUGAAGACAUCGGCUGUCAACACGGCGCUCUGAAGCCAAGGGGUUUAAAUCAAGUCUUCUCUCACAACAAUGACAUUAAUUACGCUUUUAACACAUUUUACUGGGUUUUUUUUUUCUCACUUCGUGCCACAUCUGUGCGAACAAUAUCCAAAAGAUUUACGGUUUUCUUCCGUAAUUACAGAUACACGGACUGCGCACUUAUCAAAAUACUUGCUGAGCAAUCAGCCCGUGUCUCGCUGCCUGCCAAGGACUCGUGCUGGCAGCAGCCACUCAUUCAAACGGAAAUGUUGAAUCAGGACUUGGGUGGGGGGAACUGCGACAAAUAAUUUGCCUGUCAAGACAUAGACCAAAGAAGAGUGGGUGCAUCCUGGCUGCA